UGGGGAAUUUUGGACAAUGGGGGAAACCCUGAUCCAGCCAUCCCGCGUGUGCGAUGAAGGCCUUCGGGUUGUAAAGCACUUUUGGCAGGAAAGAAACGUCAUGGGUUAAUACCCCGUGAAACUGACGGUACCUGCAGAAUAAGCACCGGCUAACUACGUGCCAGCAGCCGCGGUAAUACGUAGGGUGCAAGCGUUAAUCGGAAUUACUGGGCGUAAAGCGUGCGCAGGCGGUUCGGAAAGAAAGAUGUGAAAUCCCAGAGCUCAACUUUGGAACUGCAUUUUUAACUACCGGGCUAGAGUGUGUCAGAGGGAGGUGGAAUUCCGGGUGUAGCAGUGAAAUGCGUAGAUAUGCGGAGGAACACCGAUGGCGAAGGCAGCCUCCUGGGAUAACACUGACGCUAAUGCACGAAAGCGUGGGGAGCAAACAGG
This 429-nucleotide ribosomal RNA is filed under the name Acidobacteriota bacterium. Its description in RNAcentral is "Acidobacteria bacterium partial 16S ribosomal RNA". It matches the Rfam family "Bacterial small subunit ribosomal RNA", at positions 355 to 776 of the family's 1533-position model. Lineage: Bacteria; Pseudomonadati; Acidobacteriota. The record is from RNAcentral.